CCUACGGUGUGCAGCAGUGGGGAAUAUUGCACAAUGGGGGGAACCCUGAUGCAGCGACGCCGCGUGGGUGAAGGAGUAUUUCGGUAUGUAAAGCCCUAUCAGCAGGGAAGAACAAUGACGGUAUCUGACUAAGAAGCACCGGCUAAAUACGUGCCAGCAGCCGCGGUAAUACGUAUGGUGCAAGCGUUAUCCGGAUUUACUGGGUGUAAAGGGAGCGGAGGCGGGGCGUUAAGACUGGUGUGAAAGCCCGGGGCCCAACCGCGGGACUGCAUUGGGAACUGGCGCGCUGGAGUGCCGGAGGGGUAGGCGGAAUUCCUAGUGUAGCGGUGAAAUGCGUAGAUAUUAGGAGGAACACCGGCGGCGAAGGCGGCCUGCUGGACCGCGACUGACGUUGAGGCUCGAAAGCGUGGGGAGCGAACAGGAUUAGAUACCCGAGUAGUC
Molecule: ribosomal RNA, 441 nt
Filed under: uncultured bacterium
Lineage: Bacteria
Description: partial 16S ribosomal RNA
Rfam family: Bacterial small subunit ribosomal RNA
Source: RNAcentral